CCUACGGGCGGCAGCAGUGGGGAAUAUUGGACAAUGGGCGAAAGCCUGAUCCAGCCAUGCCGCGUGUGUGAAGAAGGCCUUCGGGUUGUAAAGCACUUUCAGUGGGGAAGAAAGCCUUGGGGCUAAUACCCUCGAGGAAGGACAUCACCCACAGAAGAAGCACCGGCUAACUCCGUGCCAGCAGCCGCGGUAAUACGGAGGGUGCGAGCGUUAAUCGGAAUUACUGGGCGUAAAGCGCGCGUAGGCGGUCUGAUAAGCCGGUUGUGAAAGCCCCGGGCUCAACCUGGGAACGGCAUCCGGAACUGUCAGGCUAGAGUGCAGGAGAGGAAGGUAGAAUUCCCGGUGUAGCGGUGAAAUGCGUAGAGAUCGGGAGGAAUACCAGUGGCGAAGGCGGCCUUCUGGACUGACACUGACGCUGAGGUGCGAAAGCGUGGGUAGCAAACAGGAUUAGAUACCCUUGUAGAC
Molecule: ribosomal RNA, 465 nt
Filed under: Vreelandella stevensii
Lineage: Bacteria; Pseudomonadati; Pseudomonadota; Gammaproteobacteria; Oceanospirillales; Halomonadaceae
Description: partial 16S ribosomal RNA
Rfam family: Bacterial small subunit ribosomal RNA
Source: RNAcentral